AGGACAUCCCGCCUGGAGCUCCUGAUCUGCUCUGCAGAAGCAGCUUCCCUGUCCUGCGGCGGCUCCGGCUCUGCAGCCCCCAGGAUGCUCCCAGUGGAAGAUUUGCAGGAGAUGGAUGUGCACCCGGCUAUCUGCUUGAUCGGGGCUGUGCAGCAGCAGAGGGCAGCAGCUCAACACGAUGCUUCCUCCACCGCAGGCAACUACUUUUCAUCUUCCAUCAGCUUUUCCUACCGCUUUUUGCAGACUCCAGCCCUUCGACUAUGUCAGAGCCAACUCCCAAGGACUGCAUCUGCUUGUGGCAUAGGCUGCACAAAGCAAUCUGGGUUGCCAACGCUGUGGUGCUGGCUUCAAGGACAGUCUUGGGAGAGGAAACCAGCAGACCCAGCUGCCACCAGUGCUUAUCAGAGCUGGAGAAGGUACUGAUCGUAAGGAUUUAAAGAGGAGGAUUUGGAAUUAAC
Gallus gallus (chicken) is the source of this 458-nucleotide long non-coding RNA. The record is from Ensembl. Lineage: Eukaryota; Metazoa; Chordata; Aves; Galliformes; Phasianidae.